RNAcentral lists this unclassified non-coding RNA (203 nucleotides) under soil metagenome. Its description in RNAcentral is "partial internal transcribed spacer 1". The record is from RNAcentral.
ACAAUGCCUAAAUCCUUGCGGGUCUCAUUCGUGGGACUUGGCAAGGUAGUACCCUAGGUACUGCCUGGUGUGCAACUGAUUGCAGUUGGUGGGAGCCCACGUAUGGGUAGUGACUCUAGUGGGCAACCACCACACUUGUCCAAUCUUAGCUUCUAGUGAGCUUGACUUGGUCUAGCGAUAGGUCAAACCCAUGGGUAUAUAUA